UAAUACGUAGGUGGCGAGCGUUGUCCGGAUUUAUUGGGCGUAAAGCGCGCGCAGGCGGUCCGUUACGUCCGUUGUGAAAGCUCCCGGCUCAACUGGGAGAGGUCUUCGGAUACGGGCGGACUCGAGGAAGGUAGAGGAAGGUGGAAUUCCCGGUGUAGUGGUGAAAUGCGUAGAGAUCGGGAGGAACACCAGUGGCGAAGGCGGCCUUCUGGGCCUUUCCUGACGCUGAGGCGCGAAAGCGUGGGGAGCGAACCGGAUUAGAUACCCGGGUAGUCCACGCCGUAAACGAUGCUCACUAGAUGUGGGGGGUAUCGACCCCCUCCGCGUCGAAGCUAACGCAUUAAGUGAGCCGCCUGGGGAGUACGGCCGCAAGGCUA
Molecule: ribosomal RNA, 377 nt
Filed under: uncultured bacterium
Lineage: Bacteria
Description: bacterial SSU rRNA
Rfam family: Bacterial small subunit ribosomal RNA
Source: RNAcentral